CGAGGGGAGCUAGCGUUGUUCGGAAUUACUGGGCGUAAAGGGCGUGUAGGCGGUACCAUAAGUCAGAUGUGAAAGCCCUAGGCUUAACCUAGGAGGUGCAUUUGAUACUGUGGAACUAGAGAUCGAGAGAGGUAAGUGGAAUUACGAGUGUAGAGGUGAAAUUCGUAGAUAUUCGUAAGAACACCAGUGGCGAAGGCGACUUACUGGCUCGAUACUGACGCUAGGGCGCGAAAGCGUGGGGAGCAAACAGGAUUAGAUACCCUGGUAGUCCACGCUGUAAACGAUGAGUGCUAGAUGUUGGUGAAGGAAUUCAUCAGUGUCGCAGCUAACGCAUUAAGCACUCCGCCUGGGGAGUACGGUCGCAAGAUUA
RNAcentral lists this ribosomal RNA (370 nucleotides) under uncultured organism. RNAcentral's name for it is "bacterial SSU rRNA". It matches the Rfam family "Bacterial small subunit ribosomal RNA", at positions 526 to 896 of the family's 1533-position model. The record is from RNAcentral.